UUCCGGUUGAUCCUGCCGGACCUGACUGCUAUCGGAUUGAUACUAAGCCAUGCGAGUCUUUGCAGUAAUGCAAGGCAUACGGCUCAGUAACACGUAGUCAACUUACCCUAUGGACGAGGAUAAUCUCGGGAAACUGAGCAUAAUACUCGAUAGAUCAUAAUGCCUGGAAUGGUUUAUGGUUGAAAUGAUUCGUCGCCAUAGGAUGGGACUGCGGCCUAUCAGCUUGUUGGUGAGGUAAUGGCCCACCAAGGCGAUUACAGGUACGGGCUCUGAGAGGAGAAGCCCGGAGAUGGGUACUGAGACAAGGACCCAGGCCCUAUGGGGCGCAGCAGGCGAGAAAACUUUGCAAUGUGCGAAAGCACGACAAGGUUAAUCCGAGUGAUUUCUGCUAAAGAAAUCUUUUGCAAGUCAUAAAACCACUAGUGAAUAAGGGGUGGGCAAGUUCUGGUGUCAGCCGCCGCGGUAAAACCAGCACCUCAAGUGGUCAGGAGGAUUAUUGGGCCUAAAGCAUCCGUAGCCGGCUCUGUAAGUUUUCGGUUAAAUCCAUGUGCUCAACGCAUGGGCUGCCGAAAAUACUGCAUAGCUAGGGAGUGGGAGAGGUAGACGGUACUCAGUAGGAAGGGGUAAAAUCCUUUGAUCUAUUGAUGACCACCUGUGGCGAAGGCGGUCUACCAGAACACGUUCGACGGUGAGGGAUGAAAGCUGGGGGAGCAAACCGGAUUAGAUACCCGGGUAGUCCCAGCUGUAAACGAUGCAGACUCGAUGAUGCAUUGGCAUAUAGCCAGUGCAGUGUCGCAGGGAAGCCGUUAAGUCUGCCGCCUGGGAAGUACGUACGCAAGUAUGAAACUUAAAGGAAUUGGCGGGGGAGCACCACAAGGGGUGAAGCCUGCGGUUCAAUUGGAGUCAACGCCGG
This 913-nucleotide ribosomal RNA is filed under the name uncultured marine archaeon. RNAcentral's name for it is "bacterial SSU rRNA". It matches the Rfam family "Archaeal small subunit ribosomal RNA", at positions 1 to 921 of the family's 1478-position model. The record is from RNAcentral.